RNAcentral lists this long non-coding RNA (1703 nucleotides) under Sus scrofa (pig). Its description in RNAcentral is "lncRNA (ENSSSCG00035053677.1)". The record is from RNAcentral. Lineage: Eukaryota; Metazoa; Chordata; Mammalia; Artiodactyla; Suidae.
AUCUCUUAUUUGUUGAGCAACUUCCUGGCACAGAGGCAAAGGAAGCUGCAGUCCUCUCCCUGGGGAAUUCAUCAUCUCCUGGAGAGCAGGAUGUAGCCAAAGAAAAGAAUCUGGAAUGGAGAAAACUGUCAGAGGAGAGGCUCCAACACCAGUGCUGCAAGAGAUGUUGGGUUCACAAGGUCGAGGGAGCUCCACGUUGAAGGGUUGUCGUGAGCACUACUGAGAUGAGGACCCGAACUGCUUACCGCAGAGCCUGCCCUUUGGACGCUGGACUCUCAGGAGUGGAUCUCCGUGCUGACGUUAGUAAGAAGACAGCAUCCAGCAUCCUGACCCUUCUGUCCCUCUGAACUGCAGCUGACUUCUACAAAUCCAGUCUCCAAAUGAGUCCUGUCCUAAUUUAUGCAAAGACAUCCACGUGGGUCUAUAGCCCGAGCUGUCCCGUCUUGGGAUCAGGCAAUGGGAGUGGAGAAAAUAGGUGGGAACUUCCUGAUGUCCCCCCAUCCCCCAGGACUCAGGUUUGUUGACUCAGAGUGGAGGAUGAACCAGGCAGCAGGGAAUGUCCAGGAGAAAGGGCCUGGCCUGCGCUCCCAAAUCCUGGCACUGCGCAUCUGGAGUGAUCAGCACAUCUGGCUGCAUCCCUGGGGCAAUGGCCACAGCUGCUGACAUUUGGGGGAGGAGAGAUGUAGCUCCUCAGCCAGGGCCUGGGGAGCUAUAAAUAACUAGCUAAGAGGACCAGGGGGAUGAGUUUGACCUUUGGGGGGGGGGCGAGAGCGCCUGGCGACUUUCCCCCACCCCCUUGGGUCCGGAGCCAAAGUUUUAGCAAAACAGGAAGAGGCAGCAGCAGCUGCUGGGAAAGUAGGAGUGGCUCCCCUUCCCCCACUUGCCCGGGGCCUUCGGAUCCCAGCCAGGACCUGGGAGAGGUGGAGUCUUCUAGGCUGGGGUGAGGGGAGGGGCAGACCCACGCAGACUGUGGCCCCAGCUCCUGGAGGCCUCUGAUGAUGGGCUCAGCUGGGGCCCAGGCGAGGGAGGGUGAGGCAGAGGAGGGCAGCCUAGUGGGCUGUGCCUGUCACCCCAGCCCCCUCCUGUUUCCUUUCUGUUCCCCCAUCAGUGGGACCACAGGAAGGACCAGACACUAGAAAUGGAGCAUAAAUAUGUCUGCAAUCCAGCCAGUGCAUCUAGGGGCCCACCUGUCUCUUCCAUCCCCUCCCAGCCCACAGGUGGGCUGAGCCUAAGCCCAAGUAGGUAGGAGAGAGGACUCUGGACAGGAGGAAGGGUGCUUCGGGGCUUCUGGAGUGGAACCCAAGGCCUGGCCCCAGUGGAAUGAUGGAGAACUUCCCUGCGAACUAUUGAGGUGGGGAGAUCCAAAGCCUGGAGUAACUGGUCCCCAGGAACAAGCUCUGUAGAGCCAGGAGCCGGCGCAGAGGGCCUCAGGAAGUCCACCACGAAAGGAGUUGUCCAGGAGCUAUCGCUUUGCUUUGCUUUGCCUGGGGGAGACUGGCCACUCUGGUGACAUCUGGUUGAAACUUCGGCUGGCCCACAUCUCCAGUGGGUCUGUAGCUUUAUCUUUCAUGACCUGUCACUGGAGCCACUCAGCCUGGAGUCCUGCAUUUUGUGUGCAGGGAGGGGCUAGACCAGCACCACCCAAUAGAAACAGAAUAGGGGCCAUGGAGGUAACUUUACAUUUUCUUUAAAAAAAAAAAAAA